This 514-nucleotide ribosomal RNA is filed under the name bacterium 5e100809. RNAcentral's name for it is "bacterial SSU rRNA". It matches the Rfam family "Bacterial small subunit ribosomal RNA", at positions 231 to 757 of the family's 1533-position model. The record is from RNAcentral.
UCGCGGCCUAUCAGCUUGUUGGUGGGGUAAUGGCCUACCAAGGCGUCGACGGGUAGCYGGCCUGAGAGGGCGACCGGCCACACUGGGACUGAGACACGGCCCAGACUCCUACGGGAGGCAGCAGUGGGGAAUAUUGCGCAAUGGACGAAAGUCUGACGCAGCAACGCCGCGUGAGGGAUGACGGCCUUCGGGUUGUAAACCUCUUUCAGCAGGGACGAAGCGAGAGUGACGGUACCUGCAGAAGAAGGACCGGCCAACUACGUGCCAGCAGCCGCGGUAAUACGUAGGGUCCGAGCGUUGUCCGGAAUUAUUGGGCGUAAAGGGCUCGUAGGCGGUUCGUCACGUCGGGAGUGAAAACUCGGGGCUUAACCCCGAGCCUGCUUCCGAUACGGGCAGACUAGAGGUAGGCAGGGGAGAGCGGAACUCCUGGUGUAGCGGUGGAAUGCGCAGAUAUCAGGAAGAACACCGGUGGCGAAGGCGGCUCUCUGGGCCUUACCUGACGCUGAGGAGCGAA